AUGGGUGUCCAUCAAAUUAACGCAAGACUUAACUCCUCUGAACAAAGUACAUCCCUGUCUUUUAAGACAGAAACAGACAACAAGCCCUCACCACCUCCGAGAACGCAGGGUAUGAUGCACUCUAAAAAACGCUGGGUUGUUUUUUUCAACCCAACUGCUGGGUUGAGGCCGUUGGAUAGGACUUUGGGAUGUUUUAACCCAAGUUUGGGUUGAAAAUAAGGUUUAAAAAAAAAAAGUUUAACCCAGCGGGUCUGGGUUGAGGACGCGGACGUGAAGGAGAGCACGCACGUCACGUCAAGAUCGUACGUCUCCAGUGCGAGCAGCCGCCAUUUUCUCAGCGUGAUAGAAGCGAGAAGCGAGUGAAAGACUAUGGUAAGUAAAUAUUUAAAAUGUAAAGUUAUCUUUUAUUGUUUACCAGGUUGUAUGAAAGGCGGAAUGUUUUAUGAAAGGCGGAAACAAAGGAGCUUAACGUUAUAUAUAUAUAUAUAUAUUUAAAAAAAAACGGACGCGGUUUUCGCCUCAGACACGGAGGUCUUAACUGCCUCAUGUAACGGUACUGAACGGAGGAUGUACUUUUAAUAUAACGUCUGUGAAUGUAUUUUGUCAUAUUUACAUAAGAUUUAACAUUAUCUGUACUUUUUGAGGCGUUAACAGACGGUUAUGGUCACGGUUACGCUCAUGUGAAUUUGUCUUUUUUUUUCGCGGUUAAACUGAAUGUAUGUUUGUCUCCUAAAGGAAACGGCAUUGUGUAGUAAAGACUAGCAUAAUUAUUUUGAGGCUGUUGAAGUGGUAACUGUUAAAAGUAUGUUUUACAUGUAAUAUUUCAGACUUGUCAAGCUUGUGUCUUCAUUGUCCUCGCGCUGAGAGUUAAAGACACAGAAGCUGUUUGUGUGAGGAGUCACAGACCUGUGUGAGGAUGAGGAGGAGGUGUUUUUCUGAAGAGAGGGACAGACGGUUUAAGGAGAGUAAACUUCAGAAUAACAUCAAGUUAUCUUUAUUUUUACUAAGACUAAAAUAAUGUUGUUGUUUUUUUUAGAUGUUGCAAUCCAGAGACAAGAUAACUUCAUUCUUUUGAGACUGAUGUAAGUUAAGUUAUUAUUACUUUUUUUUUUUAGAAAAUUAAUGUUUAUGUUGUGUCCUGCCUGUUAACU
RNAcentral lists this long non-coding RNA (1151 nucleotides) under Carassius auratus (goldfish). Its description in RNAcentral is "lncRNA (ENSCARG00000026751.1)". Lineage: Eukaryota; Metazoa; Chordata; Actinopteri; Cypriniformes; Cyprinidae. The record is from RNAcentral.